Molecule: long non-coding RNA, 584 nt
Filed under: Olea europaea subsp. europaea
Lineage: Eukaryota; Viridiplantae; Streptophyta; Magnoliopsida; Lamiales; Oleaceae
Source: RNAcentral
GAAAUAUUUGAUGCUAUUAUUGCAAGCUUAAAUUGGAUACAUAUUUUGCUUAUACUGGCAUCAGUGUUUGGUCAUAUCCUAGGGUUUGAUGUUGGUUUCGACGGCAGAUUGAGAAGCUUGGAGGUUUAUGAAUACAGUUAAUGGUCAGGUGCACCAUCUCCGACCCAAGUGAAGACGGAAACUUUAGUUCUUCUUAAAGUAAAUGGUCAGACGAAUGACCUUUUCAGAAAAAAAUACCAAUAAUUUAAGUAGAGAAGUUCGAUAUAUAUCAAUUAGAUAAAUCUGUCUUUCCUUUCUUCCAAGUCUCCACUCACAUUUUGUUAGUAGUUUAUGAUUUAUUUAUUCGUUCCACGACAACGUAUAUAAAACAGUGCAAUUAGUGCUGUUAAGGUUGAAUUUUGGCAUUGGUCUCUUCAGGCAGUGAAAUCAAAUGAAAGGUUAUCUGAGAGGAUGCCAGGAGCAGAGAAUAAGUGAGAAUAUUAAUUGUGAGAAGUAAAAUAAUUCAGACGAUCAUGCUCAUUAUUAUCUAUUUUCUUUUUCCUUUUCUUUUUUUUUUUCCCGGCCCGUAGAAAUAUUUGUCUAAG